Molecule: ribosomal RNA, 446 nt
Filed under: uncultured bacterium
Lineage: Bacteria
Description: bacterial SSU rRNA
Rfam family: Bacterial small subunit ribosomal RNA
Source: RNAcentral
GCCAGACUCCUACGGGAGGCAGCAGUGGGGGAUAUUGCACAAUGGGGGAAACCCUGAUGCAGCGACGCCGCGUGAGUGAAGAAGUAUUUCGGUAUGUAAAGCUCUAUCAGCAGGGAAGAAAAAAGACGGUACCUGACUAAGAAGCCCCGGCUAACUACGUGCCAGCAGCCGCGGUAAUACGUAGGGGGCAAGCGUUAUCCGGAUUUACUGGGUGUAAAGGGAGCGUAGACGGCAAUACAAGUCGGAAGUGAAAUACCCGGGCUCAACCUGGGAAUUGCUUUGGAAACUGUAUGGCUGGAGUGCUGGAGAGGUAAGCGGAAUUCCUAGUGUAGCGGUGAAAUGCGUAGAUAUUAGGAGGAACACCAGUGGCGAAGGCGGCUUACUGGACAGUAACUGACGUUGAGGCUCGAAAGCGUGGGGAGCGAACAGGAUUAGAUACCCCAGUA